RNAcentral lists this transfer RNA (75 nucleotides) under Ruellia brittoniana. Its description in RNAcentral is "tRNA-Met". It matches the Rfam family "tRNA". From Rfam's summary of the family: Transfer RNA (tRNA) molecules are approximately 80 nucleotides in length. Their secondary structure includes four short double-helical elements and three loops (D, anti-codon, and T loops). Further hydrogen bonds mediate the characteristic L-shaped molecular structure. tRNAs have two regions of fundamental functional importance: the anti-codon, which is responsible for specific mRNA codon recognition, and the 3' end, to which the tRNAs corresponding amino acid is attached (by aminoacyl-tRNA synthetases). tRNAs cope with the degeneracy of the genetic code in two manners: having more than one tRNA (with a specific anti-codon) for a particular amino acid; and 'wobble' base-pairing, i.e. permitting non-standard base-pairing at the 3rd anti-codon position. Lineage: Eukaryota; Viridiplantae; Streptophyta; Magnoliopsida; Lamiales; Acanthaceae. The record is from RNAcentral.
UACCUACUUAACUCAGUGGUUAGAGUGUUGCUUUCAUACGGCGGAAGUCAUUGGUUCAAAUCCAAUAGUAGGUAG